AACCUGGAUCGAUGCCGUCCUCCAUAACUGUCUGUCUCGCCGUCGUGAGCGGAUUUCACCGGCGUCACUAACUGCUGGCUUUCCGUCCACCGAGAUGCCCGUGAUGCGCGGAUGACAGGAUGACGGCGAGCGGGGCUGGAAAACACAAGCUUCUUGUCAUGGGACCCACGGAGCCAUGGUCAGUGAGGGAGAAGCUGUGUUUGGCCACGUCCGUGAUGAAGAGCGGGGAUCAGAACUGGGUGUCUGUCAGCCGAGCCAUCAAGCCAUUUGCAGAACCUGGGCGACCACCUGACUGGUUCUCUCAAAAGCACUGUGCCUCAAAGUACUCAGAGCUGUUAGAAACUACAGAAGCCCCAAACCCCAAACAGUAUCUAAAGCUCGUCAGUCAUGCUCCUAUCGCCUCCAGGAGGAAGCGUGGUGAGAAGGGUGAGGUGGUGGAGACAGUGGAGGAUGUGAUCGUGCGCCGGCUGACGGCCGAGAGGAUCGACGAGCUGAAGCGGUUGAUUAAAGAAACGCAGGAGAAGCACAGGAGGAUGAAGAGGGAGGCUGAACUCAUUCAGGCAGGACAUCUAGAUUCCAAACUGGCGGAAUUAUGGGGAGAAAUUCUUCAGAAGAAGAAAAAGGACGAGGAAGAAGCACUUUUGAAAAGGAAGAACACGGAUGCUGCAUAUCAGGCCAGACAGGUAGCAAAGAACACACCUAAGCGAAUGUCCGGUGUUACCAUGCAUUCGCCCUCAGGCUGUAGCUCCCCGAGCCCGGAGUUCUCGCCAGGCGACCCGCUCGAGUGCUUGACGCUGGAUUUGGCAUCUGCAAAGAAUGCUUCAGGACCGACCAGACUGAUGCCUUUCGCCGACUCUUCUGGACACGGAAGUGAUGACGUCAGCCACGUAUCACUCCUGGACGACCCCACUCAAAAGAAGCUGCUGUGCCAGAGAGCCACACCGCCACCAUCACCACUCCUGUCUGAGUUACUGAAGAAAGGCAGUAUCUUGGCUUCAAAUUCCAGACUGAUUGGGGAGGAGGACGUGGUGACUGGUAGUAUGGCAGGAGCACACGACCUGCAGCUGGCGCUGCCCAGUCAACCUCUGUCUCAAGCAACAGGUGCCCCGAUGCUGUCGCGGCUCCUGGAGGCAGGUCCUGCCCAGUUUUCUGCACCGGCCGGUUUCAUGAUCACCGCAGACUCAGCCUCCGGCGCUCCUCUGUCGGCGGCCACUCCCGUUCCCGUCGACUCCUCCGCCUCAGCAAAGACAGAAAGUAAGGUGUCAGGGCUCAGUGAGGAGGAUGUGACUGUGGCCUAUAUAGGAGAUGAGCUGGACCUAAAGACAGUGGGCGACAUUAUUGCCAUCAUUGAAGAUAAGGCAGAUGAGGCUGCAGAGGUGUUGGAUGCAGCUGCAGUGGAGGCUGCUUUGUCCCUGUGUGAGGAGAACGGCCAUGCUCUGUCGGGUGCCUGGGAGACCGGCCCGUUCCAGGUCCACGGGUCCCACCACACGGCCCCACAGCCGUCCUCUCUUCACUGUAGCCUGGAGGUGAAGACAGAGGUGUUGGAGGUUCAGGAUGGGACGCCGUCGCUCCCCUCUCUGUGCAGCAGUCAAGACGGCUGCCUUGCGACAUACCCCGUUGGGUUGGCGAGCCUCCCCCCCGGCUCCUCGUCCAUUUGCAGCUUGAAGAGCUUGGAGCGCUGCCCCACUGGCGCGUCGAAGCGGCCUGAGGCAGCUCGGGAGUCCGGGGAGGCGUUGCUCUCGAAAAGCCAGGUUUCCUUGGAUGUUUCUCUCAAAUGCGAGAAGCAGAAGUGGGCACAACAAAGACAUGACAAACCCCACAGAGACCCAGUAUUUGAAGAUAGCCCACAGACAGACAGGCAUCCCAAGGAGGCAAAGGCGGAAUACGGACUAAACGUCGGUGGCGUCUCAGGGACUAAAGUGGACGACGAGUCCCCCGGGCCGGAAGCGUGCGGGGAGGAAGAGGGCGACGGGGUGGAGGAGUUCUUCUCAGAGGCGGAGCUGGAGCCCGCGGCCAGCGAAAGCGAGGACGGCUACAGCCUCCACACGGCGUCCUCGUCUCUCCAGCUCCACACCACCGCAGACUCCAUCCCCAGCAGCCCCGCCUCCUCCCAGUUCUCUGUGUGCAGCGAGGACCUUGAAGCUCUGCAAGCUCACAAGAUCUGGAAGAAAGCCAUUAUGUUGGUGUGGCGCGCAGCGGCCAACCACAGGUAUGCAAAUGUCUUCCUGCAGCCAGUAACUGAUGAAAUUGCACCUGGAUACCACAGUAUUGUGCACAGACCCAUGGACCUGGCCACCAUCAAAAAGAACAUAGAGACCGGUUUGAUACGGACCACUGCUGAGUUCCAGCGGGACAUCAUGCUGAUGUUUCAAAACGCCGUCAUGUACAACAGCCUGGACCACGACGUCUACCACAUGGCCCUGGAGAUGCAGCGCGACGUCCUGGAGCAGAUCCAGCAGUUUCUAGCCACGCAGCUUAUCAUGGAGACGUCAGAGUCUGGCAUCAGCGCCAAGAGUCUGAGGGGCCGUGAGAACGCACGCAAACAGGACUCCACUGACAAGGUGCUUCACUAGAAUUUUGACAAAAGCAGAGAGUACAGAAGAAGAGACAAGGGUGAGACAACAGGCUGGCUUAAAGGACUCUGUCUCCAUGUCCUCUCCUGCCUUCCUACUUUCUCUCUUUGACGGAGGCACCAGAGGGCGCCGCUGUGCCAUCGAAGCUGACCUCAAAAUGAAGAAAUGAAGACUGAAUUUACUCAUUUGCACAGAUUCAGUGUAAACCACGCACUCUCGGUUAAAUGGGCGGAGGAGAAGCUGGUUUCUUCUAAGAGAGUCACAUGCACAUGCAUCACAUACUGUAUAACCGUUGAAUACAUGUUCCAACCUUCCACAGGGGCAGCUGGAGAAGACUGAAUGUCAGGUUACAUAAAUGAGAUUUGGGCUGAUCUGUUUAUCAUUUUAGUUUGCAUUUUCAUUGAAUAUAAUAUUUAGAUUUUUUUGUUCUCUAAAUUUAAAAUGCUGUCGUUUUAAAUAUGACUUUUUCAUGAAUUUAUUUUCUAUAUUACGUCUCCAGUGAAACCGUACAAACAAGAAAAUUCUUGUUUUUUUUGGUGUUCUCGUUAUGUUGGUUAAAUAUUCUGUGAAACUUACAAUGUUCAAAAGUAAAAGUGUAUAAAGUCCCUCAA
This is an RNA transcript of Betta splendens (Siamese fighting fish), 3184 nucleotides long. It is a transcript of the gene named bromodomain containing 8a, with no coding region annotated. The record is from RefSeq and is a predicted model, not a curated record. NCBI's taxonomy places the organism in Eukaryota, Metazoa, Chordata, Actinopteri, Anabantiformes, Osphronemidae. The transcript has 20 exons.